UUAGUACCCCCUCCGUCCGGAAAUACUUGUCCUAGAAAUGAAUGUAUUUAGACUUAUUUUAGUUAUAGAUACAUCUAUUUUAUUCAUUUCUAGGACAAGUAUUUCCGGACGGAGGGAGUAUUUA
Molecule: microRNA precursor, 124 nt
Filed under: Hordeum vulgare
Lineage: Eukaryota; Viridiplantae; Streptophyta; Magnoliopsida; Poales; Poaceae
Description: microRNA MIR1122
Rfam family: MIR1120/MIR1122 microRNA precursor family
Source: RNAcentral